Molecule: ribosomal RNA, 490 nt
Filed under: uncultured bacterium
Lineage: Bacteria
Description: partial 16S ribosomal RNA
Rfam family: Bacterial small subunit ribosomal RNA
Source: RNAcentral
AUUGAACGUUGGCGGCAGGCCUAACACAUGCAAGUCGAACGGUAACAGGAAGCAGCUUGCUGCUUUGCUGACGAGUGGCGGACGGGUGAGUAAUGUCUGGGAAACUGCCCGAUGGAGGGGGAUAACUACUGGAAACGGUAGCUAAUACCGCAUAACGUCGCAAGACCAAAGAGGGGGACCUUAGGGCCUCUUGCCAUCGGAUGUGCCCAGAUGGGAUUAGCUAGUAGGUGGGGUAACGGCUCACCUAGGCGACGAUCCCUAGCUGGUCUGAGAGGAUGACCAGCCACACUGGAACUGAGACACGGUCCAGACUCCUACGGGAGGCAGCAGUGGGGAAUAUUGCACAAUGGGCGCAAGCCUGAUGCAGCCAUGCCGCGUGUAUGAAGAAGGCCUUCGGGUUGUAAAGUACUUUCAGCGGGGAGGAAGGGAGUAAAGUUAAUACCUUUGCUCAUUGACGUUACCCGCAGAAGAAGCACCGGCUAACUCCGUG